CCUACGGGCGGCAGCAGUAGGGAAUUUUCGUCAAUGGGCGCAAGCCUGAACGAGCAAUGCCGCGUGAACGAGGAAGGUCUUCGGAUCGUAAAGUUCUGUUGAAGGGGAAAAGAGCGGAGAGAGGAAAUGGUCUCCGAUUGAUAUUACCCUUCGAGGAAGUCACGGCUAACUACGUGCGAGCAGCCGCGGUAAUACGUAGGUGGCGAACGAUAUCCCGAAUGAUUGGGCGUAAAGGGUGCGUAGGCGGCCUGCUAAGUCUGGAGUGAAAGGUACCGGCUAAACCGGUACAGGCUCUGGAAACUGGCGGGCUAGAGAGCAGGAGAGGGGGGUGGAACUCCAUGUGUAGCGGUAAAAGGCGUAGAGAUAUGGAAGAACACCAGUGGCGAAGGCGGCCGCCUGACCUGUUACUGACGCUGAGGCACGAAAGCGUGGGGAGCAAAUAGGAUUAGAUACCCUGGUAGUC
Molecule: ribosomal RNA, 463 nt
Filed under: uncultured bacterium
Lineage: Bacteria
Description: partial 16S ribosomal RNA
Rfam family: Bacterial small subunit ribosomal RNA
Source: RNAcentral